Long non-coding RNA from Hipposideros armiger (great roundleaf bat), 636 nucleotides. RefSeq lists it as uncharacterized. NCBI's taxonomy places the organism in Eukaryota, Metazoa, Chordata, Mammalia, Chiroptera, Hipposideridae. The transcript is spliced from 4 exons. The record is from RefSeq and is a predicted model, not a curated record.
UGGUACUCUUGAGGGAGGUGGUUCAGAGCCAGCAGAAAGUCGGUCAGAUAUAAGGGAAGAUAAGUGUCGUAAAUGACUGUAACAACCCAGCACAAUGAUGAAGCACGUGUAACUUUCGCAGUGUCACAUGGCUAUUCCAAAAGCUACGAUUCUAUUCAGGUGACAUGACUGCGCAAUCCAAACUUCAAACCACUGAGCAAUAAUGCUCCCUACAGUAGUUGAGUGUCCACUGGGGAACAGGAAGGAGGAAGACGGAAGAGGUGGAAUGACUGCACAUUUCAUCAUGAAGAUUUAUCUGGAGGCUCUGACCUUGAGCUUGGAGCAUCUGAAGUAUGUAUGUAGGUUCCACGUGGGAUGGAAAAUAGUCUCUUCCAUUCCGAGACUAUUCAGAGGACCUAAAGAAAUCUCAAUGGCCGCACUGGAAAAUCUUGAAGAAGCUCACGGUUUACAAAGAUAUUAAAGAUAAAAUAAGGUUCACAAAAAGAGGGAAGAACAGAAAAGAAUGCACACUCCUAUAAGUAGACAUCACAGCACAGUGUAAUGAAAAGACCAUGGACCCUGGCGUCAGACUGCCUGAAUUCAAACUGCAAACCUUUUGGUUCUGUGUCUUUGAGCAAGCCACUUAACUUCUCUGAG